Molecule: ribosomal RNA, 507 nt
Filed under: uncultured bacterium
Lineage: Bacteria
Description: bacterial SSU rRNA
Rfam family: Bacterial small subunit ribosomal RNA
Source: RNAcentral
GUAGAAAUAUGGCCUUCCCGCAAGGGACACUAGUAUAGGCGCUGCAUGGCUGUCGUCAGCUCGUGCCGUGAGGUGUUGGGUUAAGUCCCGCAACGAGCGCAACCCUGCACACAGUUACUACUCGCAAGAGAGGACUCUGUGUGGACUGCUCCGGAUAACGGAGAGGAAGGUGGGGAUGACGUCAAGUCCGCAUGGCCUUUAUGUCCAGGGCUACACACGUGUUACAAUGCAGGGCACAAACCGUUGCCAACCCGCGAGGGGGGGGCUAAUCGGAAAAAACUCUGCUCAGUUCGGAUUGCAGUCUGCAACUCGACUGCAUGAAGCCGGAAUCGCUAGUAAUGGCGUAUCAGAUCGACGCCGUGAAUACGUUCCCGGGCCUUGUACACACCGCCCGUCACAUCACGAAAGUGAGCUGUACUAGAAGUCGCCGCGCUGACCGCAAGGAGGCAGGCGCCCAAGGUAUGACUCAUGAUUGGGGUGAAGUCGUAACAAGGUAAGCGUAGAUGA